GAUGAACGCUAGCGACAGGCUUAACACAUGCAAGUCGAGGGGCAGCGGGCGAGUGGCAACACUUGCUGUCGGCGACCGGCGCACUGGUGAGUAACACGUAUGCAACCUGCCCCCUUCUGGGAGAUAACCCAUAGAAAUGUGGCCUAAUAUCCCAUAGUCGGUCCAGCCGCAUGGCCGGGCCGGGAAAGGCGAGCCGGAAGGGGAUGGGCAUGCGGCGCAUUAGCUAGUUGGCGGGGCAGAGGCCCACCAAGGCGACGAUGCGUAGGGGUUCUGAGAGGAAGGUCCCCCACAUUGGUACUGAGACACGGACCAAACUCC
Molecule: ribosomal RNA, 318 nt
Filed under: uncultured Bacteroidales bacterium
Lineage: Bacteria; Pseudomonadati; Bacteroidota; Bacteroidia; Bacteroidales
Description: bacterial SSU rRNA
Rfam family: Bacterial small subunit ribosomal RNA
Source: RNAcentral